GGACUACUGGGGUAUCUAAUCCUGUUUGCUCCCCACGCUUUCGCACCUCAGCGUCAGUAUCGAGCCAGGAGGCCGCCUUCGCCACCGGUAUUCCUCCACAUAUCUACGCAUUUCACCGCUACACGUGGAAUUCUACCUCCCUCUCUCGUACUCUAGUCGGCCAGUAUCAACUGCAGUUCCCAGGUUGAGCCCAGGGCUUUCACAGCUGACUUAACAAACCGCCUACGCGCGCUUUACGCCCAGUAAUUCCGAUUAACGCUCGCACCCUCCGUAUUACCGCGGCUGCUGGCACGGAGUUAGCCGGUGCUUCUUCUGUCGGUAACGUCAUGACAGAGUGGUAUUAGCACUCUGCUUUUCUUCCCAACUGAAAGUGCUUUACAACCCUAGGGCCUUCUUCACA
RNAcentral lists this unclassified non-coding RNA (400 nucleotides) under uncultured fungus. RNAcentral describes it as "sequence contains ITS1". The record is from RNAcentral. Lineage: Eukaryota; Fungi.